AACGCUAGCUACAGGCUUAACACAUGCAAGUCGAGGGGCAGCAUGGUCUUAGCUUGCUAAGGCCGAUGGCGACCGGCGCACGGGUGAGUAACACGUAUCCAACCUGCCGUCUACUCUUGGACAGCCUUCUGAAAGGAAGAUUAAUACAAGAUGGCAUCAUGAGUCCGCAUGUUCACAUGAUUAAAGGUAUUCCGGUAGACGAUGGGGAUGCGUUCCAUUAGAUAGUAGGCGGGGUAACGGCCCACCUAGUCUUCGAUGGAUAGGGGUUCUGAGAGGAAGGUCCCCCACAUUGGAACUGAGACACGGUCCAAACUCCUACGGGAGGCAGCAGUGAGGAAUAUUGGUCAAUGGGCGCAGGCCUGAACCAGCCAAGUAGCGUGAAGGAUGACUGCCCUAUGGGUUGUAAACUUCUUUUAUAAAGGAAUAAAGUCGGGUAUGUAUACCCGUUUGCAUGUACUUUAUGAAUAAGGAUCGGCUAACUCCGUGCCAGCAGCCGCGGUAAUACGUAGGAUCCGAGCGUUAUCCGGAUUUAUUGGGUUUAAAGGGAGCGUAGAUGGAUGUUUAAGUCAGUUGUGAAAGUUUGCGGCUCAACCGUAAAAUUGCAGUUGAUACUGGAUAUCUUGAGUGCAGUUGAGGCAGGCGGAAUUCGUGGUGUAGCGGUGAAAUGCUUAGAUAUCACGAAGAACUCCGAUUG
Molecule: ribosomal RNA, 694 nt
Filed under: uncultured bacterium
Lineage: Bacteria
Description: bacterial SSU rRNA
Rfam family: Bacterial small subunit ribosomal RNA
Source: RNAcentral